ACKGCUCAGUAACACGUGGACAACCUACCCUGGGGUGGGGGAUAACCCCGGAAAACUGGGGAUAAUACCCCAUAGACAAGGGAAGCUGGAAUGCUCCUUUGUCGAAAGGUCAGCCGCCCCAGGAUGGGUCUGCGGCCGAUUAGGUUGUUGUUGGGGUAACGGCCCAACAAGCCACUGAUCGGUACGGGUUGUGGGAGCAAGAGCCCGGAGAUGGAUUCUGAGACACGAAUCCAGGCCCUACGGGGCGCAGCAGGCGCGAAAACUUUACAAUGCGAGCAAUCGUGAUAAGGGAACCCCGAGUGCCCGUAAAUUCGGGCUGUCCGCCAGUUUAAAAAGCUGGUGAAGAAAGGGCCGGGCAAGACCGGUGCCAGCCGCCGCGGUAAUACCGGCGGCUCGAGUGGUGGCCGCUAUUACUGGGCUUAAAGCGUCCGUAGCUGGGCUGUUAAGUCCCCUGGGAAAUCCAUCGGCUUAACCGAUGGGCGUUCAGGGGAUACUGGCAGCCUAGGGACCGGGAGAGGUGAGAGGUACUCCAGGGGUAGGAGUGAAAUCCUGUAAUCCUUGGGGGACCACCUGUGGCGAAGGCGUCUCACUAGAACGGCUCCGACAGUGAGGGACGAAAGCUGGGGGAGCAAACCGGAUUAGAUACCCGGGUAGUCCCAGCUGUAAACGAUGUGCGUUAGGUGUAUCGGUGACCACGAGUCACCGAGGUGCCGAAGAGAAAUCGUGAAACGUACCGCCUGUGAAGUACGGUCGCAAGGCUGAAACUUAAAGGAAUUGGCGGGGGAGCAC
RNAcentral lists this ribosomal RNA (789 nucleotides) under uncultured Methanomicrobiales archaeon. RNAcentral describes it as "bacterial SSU rRNA". It matches the Rfam family "Archaeal small subunit ribosomal RNA", at positions 85 to 879 of the family's 1478-position model. The record is from RNAcentral. Lineage: Archaea; Methanobacteriati; Methanobacteriota; Methanomicrobia; Methanomicrobiales.